RNAcentral lists this ribosomal RNA (507 nucleotides) under Rana macrocnemis macrocnemis. Its description in RNAcentral is "partial 16S ribosomal RNA". It matches the Rfam family "Bacterial large subunit ribosomal RNA", at positions 1932 to 2608 of the family's 2925-position model. The record is from RNAcentral. Lineage: Eukaryota; Metazoa; Chordata; Amphibia; Anura; Ranidae.
CGCGGUACCCUAACCGUGCGAAGGUAGCAUAAUCGCUUGUUCUUUAAAUGAGGACUUGUAUCAACGGCACUACGAGGGCUAUACUGUCUCCUUUUUCUAAUCAGUGAAACUGAUCUCCCCGUGAAGAAGCGGGGAUCAAGAUAUAAGACGAGAAGACCCCAUGGAGCUUUAAACUUACCACCCACCUCUGUGGUACCACACCAUUCAACACAAGAGACCUGCGUGCUAGUUUUAGGUUGGGGGGACCACGGAGUAUAAUUAAACCUCCACAACAAAUGGGCUAAUACCCUUAUCCACGAGACACAACUCUAAGAAUUACUAAACUAAUGCUUAUGACCCGAUAUUCGAUCAAUGAACCAAGUUACCCUGGGGAUAACAGCGCAAUCUACUUCAAGAGCCCCUAUCGACAAGUAGGUUUACGACCUCGAUGUUGGAUCAGGGUAUCCCGGUGGUGCAGCCGCUACCGAUGGUUCGUUUGUUCAACGAUUAAAACCCUACGUGAUCUGA